CAACCUACCCAUAACAGGGGGAUAACACUGAGAAAUUGGUACUAAUACCCCAUAACAUCAGAACCGGCAUCGGUUUUGGUUGAAAACUCCGGUGGUUAUGGAUGGGCAUGCGUUGUAUUAGCUGGUUGGUGAGGUAACGGCUCACCAAGGCAACGAUACAUAGGGGGACUGAGAGGUUAACCCCCCACAUUGGUACUGAGACACGGACCAA
RNAcentral lists this ribosomal RNA (211 nucleotides) under uncultured Bacteroidota bacterium. Its description in RNAcentral is "uncultured Bacteroidetes bacterium partial 16S ribosomal RNA". It matches the Rfam family "Bacterial small subunit ribosomal RNA", at positions 122 to 334 of the family's 1533-position model. Lineage: Bacteria; Pseudomonadati; Bacteroidota. The record is from RNAcentral.